AGUGAUGCGCUCCUGUUUUCCCUCCGUAGUUUCACUCCAGUGUUUUGUGUCAAUGCUUCUGUUAAAUUCACAGUGACACUCCCUACAACGGGGAUUAGACAGAUGAACUGCAGCCCCAAGAUGCCAAAGCCUUAAAACCAGAACCGUGGGGAGACAUCAACACUUAGUUAUCCUGUACUGACCAAAAAUGGAAUAAAUUGCCUCAGGACGAUAUCCUACAUAUGUUUUUGCCCCGCAUGAGGAUCUCCUGUACUUCUGAUGUGAAGAUGGGGAAGGGCCUUUCAUUGUGGAUUCUACGAUGAAAGGAUGACUUUUGAUGUCCAGUGUGGCUGGUGGGGGGUGUCUCAGCUCUUGAUGAUGGCCAAGUUUUUUUUUAGGUGAAGUCGUUACAGGAGAAAAUUCCACAAAUAAAACUGCCAUAUUUUCAAUCUAGCGAA
Long non-coding RNA from Coregonus clupeaformis (lake whitefish), 437 nucleotides. RefSeq lists it as uncharacterized. Lineage: Eukaryota; Metazoa; Chordata; Actinopteri; Salmoniformes; Salmonidae. The record is from RefSeq and is a predicted model, not a curated record. The transcript is spliced from 3 exons.